Molecule: ribosomal RNA, 393 nt
Filed under: uncultured bacterium
Lineage: Bacteria
Description: partial 16S ribosomal RNA
Rfam family: Bacterial small subunit ribosomal RNA
Source: RNAcentral
AUACGGAGGAUGCGAGCGUUAUCCGGAUUUAUUGGGUUUAAAGGGAGCGAAGAUGGGAGCUUAAGCCAGUUGUGAAAAGCGCGGGCCCAACCCGCGUCGUGCAAUUGGAACUGUGUUCCUUGAGUGGGUUCGGGGCAGGUGGAAUUCGAGGUGUAGCGGUGAAAUGCUUAGAUAUCACGAAGAACUCCGACAGCGUAGGCAUCCUGCCAGGCCCUUACUGACAUUGAAGCUCGAAGGUGCGGGUAUCAAACAGGAUUAGAUACCCUGGUAGUCCGCACGGUAAACGAUGGAUGCCCGCUGUCGGCGACAGACAGUCGGCGGCCAAGCGAAAGCGUUAAGCAUCCCACCUGGGGAGUACGCCGGCAACGGUGAAACUCAAAUGAAUUGACGGGG